UACGUAGGGUGCAAGCGUUGUCCGGAAUUAUUGGGCGUAAAGAGCUCGUAGGCGGUCUGUCGCGUCUGCUGUGAAAACUCGGGGCUUAACCCCGGGCCUGCAGUGGGUACGGGCAGACUAGAGUGCGGUAGGGGAGACUGGAAUUCCUGGUGUAGCGGUGAAAUGCGCAGAUAUCAGGAGGAACACCGGUGGCGAAGGCGGGUCUCUGGAACGGUACUGACGCUGAGACGCGAAAGCGUGGGGAGCGAACAGG
RNAcentral lists this ribosomal RNA (253 nucleotides) under uncultured bacterium. Its description in RNAcentral is "partial 16S ribosomal RNA". It matches the Rfam family "Bacterial small subunit ribosomal RNA", at positions 524 to 776 of the family's 1533-position model. The record is from RNAcentral.